RNAcentral lists this ribosomal RNA (256 nucleotides) under uncultured bacterium. Its description in RNAcentral is "partial 16S ribosomal RNA". It matches the Rfam family "Bacterial small subunit ribosomal RNA", at positions 524 to 777 of the family's 1533-position model. The record is from RNAcentral.
GACAGAGGGUGCAAACGUUGUUCGGAAUUACUGGGCGUAAAGCGCGUGUAGGCGGCCCUGCAAGUCGGAUGUGAAAUCCCACGGCUCAACCGUGGAAGUGCAUUCGAAACUGCAGGGCUAGAGUCCUGGAGAGGAAGGUGGAAUGCUUGGUGUAGAGGUGAAAUUCGUAGAUAUCAAGCGGAACACCGGUGGCGAAGGCGGCCUUCUGGACAGUGACUGACGCUGAGACGGCGAAAAGCGUGGGGAGCAAACAGGG